RNAcentral lists this long non-coding RNA (5238 nucleotides) under Sus scrofa (pig). Its description in RNAcentral is "lncRNA (ENSSSCG00055006494.1)". Lineage: Eukaryota; Metazoa; Chordata; Mammalia; Artiodactyla; Suidae. The record is from RNAcentral.
UGGUCCACUGUUCUUCCAGAGUAAUUGUUCAAAAGCAAACCCGAUCAUGCUACGCACCUCCUUAAAAUCAUUCAAUAGUUCCCCCAUUGUGGUCUGCAUGGCUUUCAAGGCCCUUCAUAAUCUAGCCCCUACUCACUUCUCCGGUCCCACUCCUUUCACCUUUAGGUUUUCUUUUGUAGUCACAUCCAGGACAGUAUUGCCCCUCCUGCAUUUGGACCUUUGCAGGUACUCAUCAUCUUUGUCCUUGGAACACUGUUCCUUUCUCUCCCCACUCUGUCACCUGGUUAAUUUUUCUUCCUCCUUUGCAUCUCUCCUUUGAUAUUAUGUCCUCUUCAGGCUGACCCUGACUCCCAGAAUUGUCCCAUUAUACAGGCUUCAACAGCAGCCUCCAACUGCUUCUACUGAAGUAUGUGUUGUACCACCUCCAAUUACUUGCUUGAUUGUAUCCUUGGCUAAACUGUAACUUAAUGAAGAACAGCAACUUGGUAUUAUUCACCGCACUGCCCCGAGAACAGCACUAAUACUUUCCUGUUGCGUGAAUUAGUGAUAUCAGGAGAGAGAUACAGCAUCAUCCGUGGGUGACACUGCAAAACAGCGCUCUGGGCUUUGUUCAUCAGUCAUCUCGUCAUGAUUUACGGACUGAUUUAUCUUUAUAAUAUCCUGACUGUGAUUCUUCCCUGCAUUCUCUCUGCUUUGUAGCCAUUUUACCAUUUUCACCUAUCUGGAAAGUCAGGAAAUGGAAAGCAAGUUGGUGACAUUUCUGGGGCCUGUCCAAAAAACAAACACAUCAUGGACAGCGUCUGUUAACACAUCCCACGCCAUUCCAUACUGCCUACCCAGUAGUAUAAUUCAAUUAAUUGAAAGAGACGUUUUGAUUUUGUCUGAGCAUGCUGAAAAAUGGUAUGAUAGUGGAGACACAGAGAAUCUAUGGUGAGGGCAUAUCUUACUAUUUGUCCUUGAGGCAACACCAUUUAUGGCUGUUUGCCUUUGGCACUCAUUUUCCCUGGUACGUGGAGAUGCUGCGGUGCAGUAAGUAAAUUAGCAAUUGUUUCAAUCUCUCAUUUUGGGGACAGUCUUCAUAAUGUGGUUACAUACAGACUCAUGCCAAGAGAGUGAGGUCAUGUGUUUGAACAUAUUCAUUUUUUUGUUCAAACCUCUUCCGUCCUUAGCCAGGGAAUCCAAGUCAUUUUAUGUUUGGCCUACAAUACCCUGUUUGGUUGUUGAUUUUUUUUUUUUAAUACUAUGUAGCAUCUUACCAAUUAGGCUGUAAAGUUUUCAAGGGCAAUGAGCAAGUGUUAUACUUUUCACAUAAUGAUCACUUGAUAAAUUUUGAAGAUGAAGGUUAUUUAUUAUAUAUCAUAUUAUUCUACGGAAUAAUAAUAAAAAUAAUGCCCUUUAUUAAGUACUUGCCAUAUUCUAUGUACAUGGAUUUAUGACUUCAGUCUCAAGAGAUGUCUGUGAGUUAAGUAUUUUCCAUAUUUCACAGAAAAGGAAGCUGAGGCUUAGAGAGUUAAGUUACCUCUUAAGGUCACAGUUGUAGCCAGGAUUGAAACCCGAUCUGACUGAUUUCAAAACCUGUGCUCAUUGUACUAUCCAGGGGUUUAAAAAAAUACUUCUUUUCCCCAUGGACCCUUUUUAAAACAAAGUAUUAUCCAAGCACAGUUUAUAAAGACAAAAUUAGAACUUCUCUGUUGAAGCAAAGUAUCAAACUUAUACUUGAUUGCUGCCCUCAGCAGCCCAUGUGACCUCCGCCUGGAUUUACUAGAGUUCUAGAGUGCCAAGUUGGGAAGCCCCUUCACUGUUCCUUGUCACUUGAUCACCGUGACCAUUUCUUUCUUUCUUUCUUUCUUUUUGUCUUUUUGCCAUUUCUUGGGCCGCUCCUGCAGCAUAUGGAGGUUCCCAGGCUAGGGGUCGAACCGGAGCUGUAGCCACCGGCCUCCGCCAGAGCCACAGCAACACGGGAUCCAAGCCGUGUCUGCGACCUACACCACAGCUCACGGCAAUGCCGGAUCGUUAACCCACUGAGCAAGGGCAGGGAUCGAACCCACAACCUCAUGGUUCCUAGUUGGAUUCGUUAACCACUGCGCCACGACGGGAACUCCCGUGACCAUUUCUUAUUUGCAUAAGGAAGAGAUUGUACUGAAAUGAUGAAAUCAUAUCUAAUUCUUGUCACACUUGUCUUGUGAAGACAGAAUGGUUUAUGAAAUAGUUUCUAUGCACCUGCUUUAGCCCAGUGCUAUAGAGAGCUCGUAAUAAUUUGAAUUGUAGUGCUGAUGUUGUUUCCACCUGCAGGGGUUUCAAGCAAAAACCUUAUCUGCAUUCUCUGUAAUGAAGACUACCUGGAGAAACAGCUGAAAAAUGGUAAUUCCCUGCAAAUGAAAUUUAGGUAAUUGCAAAGAUGUAGGUCAGCAUGAGGAAAAGCCUAUAUAUGAAGACUGGUUGGUUUUAUACACGGAAACUAUCAAAUUGACUUCUCCCAUUUUCAGCCUACAGGAAAUUUAUGCAAUUUAUGAUGUGUGUCUGACACUGGAUCUUCUGGGGUAGAUUUCACUCAUUUUCAGGUUAGUCUGAAAAAAAAAAAAAAAAAAAAGAAGCCAGGAGCCAUAUGUCAAAAGCUGUGGGUAAGGAUCCUAGAAUCACAACAGAGCAGGGAAUAAUAAAUCAAGAUAUUGGUAUAGAGUAGGGGUUUGUCCUUAGCAGAUGUUAAGGAAUAUAAUACACUAUGGUGUUGAGGGGCCAAAGUUAAGCCAAGUUUCUAAUAUUAUUUAUCUUGUAGUUUUCUUAGAUGAUACUUUAUGUCCAAUGGUAUUGUUUAUGUACAAAUAUACAUAAAAAGAUCACAUAUUAUGACUUACCAAUUUAUCGUCAGAAGAUUCUCUUUAGUCUUGUUGAUUCUCUUCAUGAGGAACACAUUAUUGCAGAAAAACACUCAUUAUGACUUGGGUAAAAAAAAGAAAAUAAUAACUAAAAUGAAUAGAAGUCAUUAAAGUUAUAUAAGAGAAGAAUGCUACUUCCAACUUUUAUGGAUUUGAAGACUCAUGCUAUGUGAUUACAAACAAGGCUCUCACCACUCUGAGCCACAUUCUUUUAAAAAUGAGAGUAUUUUGAAAAUGAGCACAAGAGGGUGAUCAAAAACAAAUACUGACUCUUAAAGCCUCCACUUGGAGCUAUUAUGUAACUAGUACUCUUAUUCCAUAGUUUACAAGGCUCAUGGUCAAGCCCCAAAUCAAUGGGACAGAAGAAUGUAUUCUGCAGGGAAGGCAUGACAAGGGCAUGAAGGGAAUAAUUUUGAACAAAGAGCGUCUAUUAUACCACUCUUAUAAUCAUUUUUUAAAUGUUUGUGUAUAGCUUUCAUACUAUACAUAGCUUUCAUAUGCAUAUUUGGCCCGAAUUUUGAUGGACAAUUAGACAUGACCAGUGCUAUAACCGUUUUGACUUUUCAUUUGUAAAUAUAUAACCGCUCUACAAAGGGAUCUAUAAUCUCUAACCAAAAUAUUCAUAUAUUACCAACUGUCUUUUCUAAAUAUUAUAUAUUCAAAUCAGGUUUAGGGAUCUGGUUCUAUAAUUUUGGCAGUAAUAUUUUUUCCUUCCAAGUUUAACUUACAAACCUGAUUUAAAAGAACUUUUUUUUUUGCUUUUUAGGGCCUCUCAUGUGGCACAUGGAAGUUCCCAGGCUGGGGGUUGAAUUGGGCUGCAGCUGCCAGCCUACACCAUAGCCACAGCAAUGCAGGAGAGCCGCAUCUGUGACCUACGCCACAGCUCACGACAACGACUGGAUCCUUAGCUCACUGAGCGAGGCCAGGGAUCAAACCCACAUCCUCAUGGACACUAGUCAGGUUCUUUACCACUGAGCCGCAAUGGGAAUCCCCAAGACUGAAAUGAAAUUUGAAAUAUCCUAAAUGGGAGACUAGUUCAAGUUAAUACCUAACUUCUUCCUGCAUUCUUGUCCUUCCAUUGUAAUUCCUUUGACUAUUUAGAAAAAAAAAAUCACUAAUAUACCUAAUUAUUCCAUCAGCCCACCCAUGUAUUAUAGGACUUAGAGCAAGACAAGUGGCACCGAAAUUUAUUCUGAUUAACAAUGCCAUACUUGAAUAUAUUUCUGGCAUUCUAAUAAUGAGUCCACAUAAGAGACUAAUUUGAAAUAUUCCCUGAAUGUUUAAUGUGAAACAAAGCACUGUGGGAAAAAAUGCCCUCUUCAUAUAAAUACUGCAAAAGGAAGGGUAACCCUCUGGAAUGAAAUUAAUGAUUUAUUCACCAAUCCUCCCUUGAAAACACUUUUAAAAAUGUCAAUUGCUGUCAUAAUUUUUCUUAUUUGUAAAGGCUAUAUUAGAUGCCAAACAAGACCCAUAUGCUAUGAAGAUAGGCACUGAAAGCACUUCAAGGCGAAUGCCAGUGCAUCUUUUAAAAAGUCCUGUGGCAUGGCGGGUUAGGGAUCUGGCCUUGUCACUGCUCUGGUGAGAGUUCGAACCCUGGCCCAGGAACUUCCGUAUGAUGGUGCGGCCAAAAAAAAAAGUCCUAUGUGAAAAGUUUCUUAAAUGGAUAUUCACAUACAUCCCAGGGACCAGAGGAUGGGAGAAAUAGAUACACUGAUCAUCCCAUCCCAGCUGAGCUAUGAACUUAUCAUCCACAAUAUGCCUUUACAAAAUAUAAUCUCAAAUUGAUCUUCUCCUGUUAACUGGCUGUGUGACCUUGGGCCCGUCUCUAUGUCCCUGGAGCUCAGUUUCCUCAUCUUAGCUUUGCCAUCACAACACUUCUGACAUUGGACGAGCUGUAUAAAAUAUUCUUUCUGAACCUCAGUUUCCUUUCUGUACAAUAAAAGCAAUACUGCUGUCUCCAUUAGAAAGCUAUUGUGUGGAUUACAAUACAUGAGACUCUGGAACAUCCAUCCAGCUUACCUUAAAAGGUUGUGAGAGAAGUGUGGUGAAUUUAUAUGAAUGAAUGUGUGUGUAAUAAUAAAGAUAACUUUUCCUACCCCUCUCAUUCUUAUUUGAAUAAGAUAACCCUGGCUGUAGUCUGCCAUACAGUGCAGGCACUUAUGUUUCUUGCCCACUAGAUUCUGGCUACUUAAAGGGCUUAAACCAUUUUUUAAUUUAUCUCUUUGUUUCCAAUAAUGCCUACUGUUCUAAGAACUGUACAGCUGUUAAUUCAUACUCAUGUUGCAACAGAACAAAGGGUGGGGAAAAAAAUGUAAUUGUAAUGUACACAUGUAAGGAUAACUUGAUCCCCUUGCUGUACAGU